RNAcentral lists this ribosomal RNA (253 nucleotides) under uncultured bacterium. RNAcentral describes it as "partial 16S ribosomal RNA". It matches the Rfam family "Bacterial small subunit ribosomal RNA", at positions 524 to 776 of the family's 1533-position model. The record is from RNAcentral.
UACGAGGGGUGCAAGCGUUAUUCGGCAUUAUUGGGCGUAAAGGGUGUGUAGACGGCUUAUUAAGUCAAUUGUUUAAUUCUCCGGCCUAACCGGAGGUCAGCGGUAGAUACUGGUAAGCUAGAGUGUGGAAGAGAGAAGUGGAAUUCUCGGAGUAGCGGUAAAAUGCGUAGAUCUCGAGAGGAACACCGAUGGCGAAGGCAGCUUCUUGGUCCAUUUCUGACGUUGAGACACGAAAGCGUGGGGAGCAAACAGG